RNAcentral lists this ribosomal RNA (466 nucleotides) under Nilaparvata muiri. RNAcentral's name for it is "partial 16S ribosomal RNA". The stretch from base 340 to 466 matches the Rfam family "Bacterial large subunit ribosomal RNA", at positions 2473 to 2600 of the family's 2925-position model. Lineage: Eukaryota; Metazoa; Arthropoda; Insecta; Hemiptera; Delphacidae. The record is from RNAcentral.
UUUAAAUAGCUGCAGUAUUUUAACUGUACAAAGGUAGCAUAGUAAUUAGUCUUUUAAUUGAGGUCUUGAAUGAAUGGUUUAACAAGAAAAUCACUUUAUUAUGUUAAUUUAAUAAAUUUUAUUUUUUAGUUAAAAAGCUAAAAUUUUUAAAUGGGACGAUAAGACCCUUUAGAUCUUUAAAUUUUUAUUAAUACACAAAUUUUAGUUGAAUUAAUUUUUUUUUUAUAAAAAUUUUUUGUUGGGGUGACAUACAAAAUUUUUAAACUUUGUGAAAUUUCUACAUAUAUAAAUGAUUUACUUGAACCUAAAUUUUAGGUUACUAAAAUAAGAUACCUCAGGGAUAACAGCGUAAUAAAUUUGUAUAGUUCAUAUAGAUAAAUUUGUUUACGACCUCGAUGUUGAAUUAAUUUUAAACUUUGGAGCAGAAUAUAAAAUUUUAGGUCUGUUCGACCUUUAAAAAAUUACA